CGCGCUUUACGCUUCCGGUGAGGCGCCCCGCCUUUCAAGCGAGAGAGGCUCGGUUCAACUCCGGCACGCGCGACCA
Molecule: transfer RNA, 76 nt
Filed under: Alphaproteobacteria bacterium
Lineage: Bacteria; Pseudomonadati; Pseudomonadota; Alphaproteobacteria
Also listed under: 1 other name
Description: tRNA-Glu
Rfam family: tRNA
About the family: Transfer RNA (tRNA) molecules are approximately 80 nucleotides in length. Their secondary structure includes four short double-helical elements and three loops (D, anti-codon, and T loops).
Source: RNAcentral